Molecule: ribosomal RNA, 409 nt
Filed under: uncultured bacterium
Lineage: Bacteria
Description: bacterial SSU rRNA
Rfam family: Bacterial small subunit ribosomal RNA
Source: RNAcentral
AUUGAACGCUGGCGGCAUGCCUUACACAUGCAAGUCGAACGGCAGCACGGGAGCAAUCCUGGUGGCGAGUGGCGAACGGGUGAGUAAUAUAUCGGAACGUGCCCAGUCGUGGGGAUAACGUAGCGAAAGCUACGCUAAUACCGCAUACGAUCUAUGGAUGAAAGCGGGGGAUCGCAAGACCUCGCGCGAUUGGAGCGGCCGAUAUCAGAUUAGGUAGUUGGUGAGGUAAAGGCUCACCAAGCCGACGAUCUGUAGCUGGUCUGAGAGGACGACCAGCCACACUGGGACUGAGACACGGCCCAGACUCCUACGGGAGGCAGCAGUGGGGAAUUUUGGACAAUGGGCGCAAGCCUGAUCCAGCAAUGCCGCGUGCAGGAUGAAGGCCUCGGUUGUAACUAGCUUUGUACGG